Molecule: ribosomal RNA, 635 nt
Filed under: uncultured fungus
Lineage: Eukaryota; Fungi
Description: eukaryotic LSU rRNA
Rfam family: Eukaryotic large subunit ribosomal RNA
Source: RNAcentral
CCCGCUGAACUUAAGCAUAUCAAUAAGCAGAGGAAAAGAAACUAACAAGGAUUCCCCUAGUAACUGCGAGUGAAGUGGGAAGAGCUCAAAUUUAAAAUCUGGUGUGCCUUUGGCCAUCCGAGUUGUAUUCUGGAGAAGUGCUUUCUGUGCUGGACCAUGUACAAGUCCCUUGGAACAGGGCGUCAUAGAGGGUGAGAAUCCCGUCUUUGACAUGGACUCCCCAGUACUUUGUGAUGCGCUCUCAAAGAGUCGAGUUGUUUGGGAAUGCAGCUCAAAAUGGGUGGUAAAUUCCAUCUAAAGCUAAAUACAGGCGAGAGACCGAUAGUGAACAAGUACCGUGAGGGAAAGAUGAAAAGCACUUUGGAAAGAGAGUUAAACAGUACGUGAAAUUGCUGAAAGGGAAACACUUGAAGUCAGUUAUGUCUUCCAGGAGUCAAUCAUGCUGCUUACGUGGCUGUUGCAUUUUCUGGUUUGACAGGCCAGCAUCAAUUUUGGCUAUCAGAAAAAGGUCAAGGGAAUGUGACACCCUUGUGGUGUGUUAUAGCCUUUGUCUGUAUAUGAUAGUUGGGAUUGAGGACUGCAGUUAUCUUAGGAUGCUGGCAUAAUGGCUUUAAGUGACCCGUCUUGAAACACGG